GGAAUAUGACGCUCAAGAAGAAGCUGCUAACUUCUCUCUUUAACGGUUAAACUCCGUUUAUUUUCCU
RNAcentral lists this transfer RNA (67 nucleotides) under Togoperla sp. KW-2014. RNAcentral describes it as "tRNA-Ser". The record is from RNAcentral. Lineage: Eukaryota; Metazoa; Arthropoda; Insecta; Plecoptera; Perlidae.